Molecule: long non-coding RNA, 558 nt
Filed under: Physcomitrium patens
Lineage: Eukaryota; Viridiplantae; Streptophyta; Bryopsida; Funariales; Funariaceae
Description: long non-coding RNA (PPAT_LNC010236)
Source: RNAcentral
AAAAAAAUAAAAAAGAAAUCUUAAAGAAAUAUAAAUAUAAACCUUUAAAGAAAUAAUAAUAAUCUUAAAGAAAUAUUAGAAAUAAAAAAUUUUAAAAAAAUAAUAAAUAAUCAUAAAAAAAUAAUAAAAUAGAAAUUCUAAAUAAAUCCUAAAUAAAUCUUAAUAAAAUCCUAAUUUAAUCUUAAUUAAAAGCUUAAUGAAUCUUCAUCCAAUCAAAGUUUAAAUCUUAAUGAAACUCUAAAUCCUAGACUAAUCCUAAUACAAUGUGAUAAAAUCCUAAUCAAAUCCUAAAUAAAUCCUAAAUAAAACUUAAUCAAAUCCUAAGUUAAUCUUAAUUAAAAGCUUAAUGAAUCUUCAUCCAAUCAAAGUUUAAAUCUUAAUGAAACUCUAAAUUCUAGACUAAUCCUAAUACAACGUGAUAAAAUCCUAAUCAAAUCCUAAAUAAAUCCUAAACAAAUCUUAAUCAAAUCUUAAUCAUAUUCAAAAUAAAUCCUAAAAAAAUCCUAAUCAAAUCCAAAUAAAAUCCUAAUCAAAUCCAAAUAAAAUUCUAAUUAAAUC